GUCUUGGAUUCGAAGCCGACAUCAGCUCGUAUCUUGAAUAGAUUUGCCGGUCUGGGAGUUUUGGGGAAGGCGGGUUUUAAAGGAAAGGAAAAUGGUUUGGAUAGUUUAGCUGAAUCGGAGAAGGAUUGGGGAGAAAAGCUUGACAUACCGUUAGCCAGCAGAGAAGCCAUGGCUGUGGUUCAGAUGGAAGAACAGGGCAAGAGACAAAAGUGAACCAGUCUCGUGUAUUCCACACGAACUAUAAAUCGGUUUUAGCUAUUAAACUAUUCAGACGCCAAAUUUGAACGGCACCGAUCCAGAUGACCAUGGAAUCGCGAAUGGCUCUCCCGA
RNAcentral lists this unclassified non-coding RNA (330 nucleotides) under Hevea brasiliensis (rubber tree). Lineage: Eukaryota; Viridiplantae; Streptophyta; Magnoliopsida; Malpighiales; Euphorbiaceae. The record is from RNAcentral.